This is a long non-coding RNA of Cryptomeria japonica (Japanese cedar), 1121 nucleotides long. RefSeq lists it as uncharacterized. Lineage: Eukaryota; Viridiplantae; Streptophyta; Pinopsida; Cupressales; Cupressaceae. The transcript has 2 exons. The record is from RefSeq and is a predicted model, not a curated record.
UAAAGGAAUAAUGAACAUUAAGGACAAGAAGAUGGGAAUGCUAUAAAAUAAUGGAGACCUGUCACUGUAUUUCUAUUUACUGGACAGCUAUAAGCCUCAAAUUAUUGCAGGCCAACAUCAAGCUUGUAGUAUACAAAUUUUCUUCAAAGAUUAAUCCUUAAAUGACUGUCUUUGUCUUGACAGCUGCACCACGUAUGAAUGACCUUAUCAGCUCAGGAAGUAGGUUUAAAGCAUGUGAUUGAAGAGACGCUAGGUUUUGACUGUAAGGAAUGUGUUGGAAAGAUCUGGAAGUAAAUAUAAAGGGAGAAACAGACUAGAUCUAAGUGCAAAGAGGGUCUGAAUCCCAAACAUCUGAAAGAUAAGUUUGAGCAAAUUGAAGCGGUGAAGAGUUGUAGUUUGUGGUUAGGAAAGCCAGAAGAAGUAUUAGUUUAUUGAUAAGAAAACAUGGAUCCUGGAGGACCAGGAGGACCUGGAGGGCCUGGUUCUGGUCCAGGGGGGCCUGGAGGACCUGGUGGAGGUCCUUGUGGGGGGCUUUCUGCUUGCUUUGAUAGUUGUUUGUGGUUCCUAUGCUGUUGUGGAUUGCUGAGAGGAUGCUGUGGAUUAUGCCCACCUGAUGGGCCUCCUCCAUAGUGGAACAAACCAGAGAACCAGAUCCUUAUGAUGUGUAUUAUCCAUAGUAGUGUGUUCUGUAAUAAUUUCAAGUUUCAAAGUUAAAGAUCAAACAUUCUUUUAGAUUCUUCUGUUAUUGUAAAUUUUCUGCAUGGAAGUUUUGAAGGUACCCUUUUUCCCUUCCCAUUAGUUAUGAGCUUUCAGAUUAAAUGGUGUCCUGGAAUUUCCUCAGUCUAGGAUAACUGGUGUAUAUGGGGUUCUACCAGAUUCAGGUUGAGUUCUCAUUAGCUGAAAGCAACUUUGUAAGGUCUGCAGAUGGUGUGUCUUUCUCUAGUUCUGUUUUGGCAUAUUGGAGUUACAGUACAUUUGUUAUUAUUUUUAGAUUGUGGUUAGUGAUCCCACGUGGAUACCAAUGCACUAGUCUGGAUAUUCGAUUUGUGCAUUUUGUACUUAUCGAGAGACUCAUGUAUGUGUAAUUUUAUAUAUUUAAAUGUAUUGAUGUUUUAAGUUCA